GUGCUUGCUUCAACAGCACAUAUACUAAAAUUGGAACAACACAGAGAAGAUUUGCACGGCUUCUGCACAAAGAUGACAUGCAAAUUUGUGAAGCAUUCCAUGUUUUU
Molecule: small nuclear RNA, 107 nt
Organism: Ailuropoda melanoleuca (giant panda)
Lineage: Eukaryota; Metazoa; Chordata; Mammalia; Carnivora; Ursidae
Source: Ensembl